RNAcentral lists this unclassified non-coding RNA (352 nucleotides) under plant metagenome. Its description in RNAcentral is "partial contains small subunit ribosomal RNA, internal transcribed spacer 1, and 5.8S ribosomal RNA". The record is from RNAcentral.
UUUCCGUAGGUGAACCUGUGGAAGGAUCAUUAUAAAUGAAAAACGAAUAACUUCAGGGAAGAAGGGAACCUGCACGGUGACCUCCCCUGUCGGGCCACCCAAUACCUUCAAAAUGCCGCCGUCCUAGCGGUGGCAGACGAAAAAAAAACAAGAAAAACAAAAUAGAACCAGGCACGGUGGCCCGUUCACCUUCACACAACCCUCCGAGUACCGCUUCCAUGUUGCUUCCCCGCAAAUCCACCUCUUUGGUGAGCGCGGGGGAGGUCCGCAUCAAAUUCACCUGAAUGUCACAGCAGUCAGACAGCCAUUCAUGGAAACAAUAAAACUUUCAACAACGGAUCUCUUGGUUCCC